RNAcentral lists this ribosomal RNA (375 nucleotides) under uncultured organism. Its description in RNAcentral is "partial 16S ribosomal RNA". It matches the Rfam family "Bacterial small subunit ribosomal RNA", at positions 527 to 896 of the family's 1533-position model. The record is from RNAcentral.
GUAGGUGGCAAGCGUUGUCCGGGAAUUAUUGGGGCGUAAAGCGCGCGCAGGCGGUUCUUUAAGUCUGAUGUGAAAGCCCACGGGCUCAACCGUGGAGGGUCAUUGGAAACUGGAGAACUUGAGUACAGAAGAGGAAAGCGGAAUCCCACGUGUAGCGGUGAAAUGCGUAGAGAUGUGGAGGAACACCAGUGGCGAAGGCGGCUUUCUGGUCUGUAACUGACGCUGAGGCGCGAAAGCGUGGGGAGCAAACAGGAUUAGAUACCCUGGUAGUCCACGCCGUAAACGAUGAGUGCUAAGUGUUAGGGGGUUUCCGCCCCUUAGUGCUGCAGCUAACGCAUUAAGCACUCCGCCUGGGGAGUACGGCCGCAAAGGCUG